CCCUUAGAUGUUCUGGGCUGCACGCGCGCUACACUGACGCACGCAACAGGUGCCUGCUCCGAGAGGACUGGGUAAUCAUUUGAGUGUGCGUCGUGAUGGGGAUAGAAUAUUGUAAUUAUUACUCUUCAACGAGGAAUUCCUAGUAAGCGCCAGUCAGCAGCUUGCGCUGAUUACGUCCCUGCCCUUUGUACACAUCGCCCGUCGCUCCUACCGAUGGGUGAUCCGGUGAAUGAUUCGGACUUCAGCGGCUCCCCUGGGGUGCGCCGGAGAAAGUUUUGUGAACCUUAUCACUUGGAGGAAGGAGAAGUCGUAACA
Molecule: ribosomal RNA, 315 nt
Filed under: uncultured eukaryote
Lineage: Eukaryota
Description: partial 18S ribosomal RNA
Rfam family: Eukaryotic small subunit ribosomal RNA
Source: RNAcentral